Non-coding RNA from Mus musculus (house mouse), 73 nucleotides. The record is from Rfam. Lineage: Eukaryota; Metazoa; Chordata; Mammalia; Rodentia; Muridae.
UGGGCUGUAGCUCAGUUGGUAGAGUGCUUGCCUGGCAUGCAGAAAGGCCUGGGUUCGAUCCUCAGCACCAUAU